RNAcentral lists this transfer RNA (74 nucleotides) under Aureispira sp. RNAcentral describes it as "tRNA-Trp". It matches the Rfam family "tRNA". From Rfam's summary of the family: Transfer RNA (tRNA) molecules are approximately 80 nucleotides in length. Their secondary structure includes four short double-helical elements and three loops (D, anti-codon, and T loops). Further hydrogen bonds mediate the characteristic L-shaped molecular structure. tRNAs have two regions of fundamental functional importance: the anti-codon, which is responsible for specific mRNA codon recognition, and the 3' end, to which the tRNAs corresponding amino acid is attached (by aminoacyl-tRNA synthetases). tRNAs cope with the degeneracy of the genetic code in two manners: having more than one tRNA (with a specific anti-codon) for a particular amino acid; and 'wobble' base-pairing, i.e. permitting non-standard base-pairing at the 3rd anti-codon position. RNAcentral also lists the same sequence under 1 other name. Lineage: Bacteria; Pseudomonadati; Bacteroidota; Saprospiria; Saprospirales; Saprospiraceae. The record is from RNAcentral.
AGGGGUGUAGCUCAGCUGGUGGUAGCACUGGUCUCCAAAACCAUAGGUCGUAGGUUCGAGUCCUACCGCCCCUG